GUAACAUAUAUACUAGCUAUGCUAGAAGAUAGACGAGUGGCGGACGGGUGAGUAAUGCUUGGGAACUUGCCUUAUGCGAGGGGGAUAACAGUUGGAAACGACUGCUAAUACCGCAUAAUGUCUUCGGACCAAACGGGGCUUCGGCUCCGGCGCAAAGAGAGGCCCAAGUGAGAUUAGCUAGUUGGUAAGGUAACGGCUUACCAAGGCGACGAUCUCUAGCUGUUCUGAGAGGAAGAUCAGCCACACUGGGACUGAGACACGGCCCAGACUCCUACGGGAGGCAGCAGUGGGGAAUAUUGCACAAUGGGGGAAACCCUGAUGCAGCCAUGCCGCGUGUGUGAAGAAGGCCUUCGGGUUGUAAAGCACUUUCAGUUGUGAGGAAAAGUUAGUAGUUAAUACCUGCUAGCCGUGACGUUAACAACAGAAGAAGCACCGGCUAACUCCGUGCCAGCAGCCGCGGUAAUACGGAGGGUGCGAGCGUUAAUCGGAAAUACUGGGCGUAAAGCGCACGCAGGCGGUUUGUUAAGCUAGAUGUGAAAGCCCCGGGCUCAACCUGGGAUGGUCAAUUAGAACUGGCAGACUAGAGUCUUGGAGAGGGGGAGUGGAAUUCCAGGUGUAGCGGUGAAAUGCGUAGAUAUCUGGGAGGGAACAUCAGUGGCGAAGGCGGACUCCCUGGGCCAAAGACUGACGCUCAUGUGCGAAAGUGUGGGUAGCGAAACAGGGAUUAGAUACCCUGGUAGUCCACACCGUAAACGCUGUCUACUAGCUGUGUGUG
Molecule: ribosomal RNA, 775 nt
Filed under: uncultured Alteromonas sp.
Lineage: Bacteria; Pseudomonadati; Pseudomonadota; Gammaproteobacteria; Alteromonadales; Alteromonadaceae
Description: bacterial SSU rRNA
Rfam family: Bacterial small subunit ribosomal RNA
Source: RNAcentral